This 502-nucleotide ribosomal RNA is filed under the name uncultured bacterium. Its description in RNAcentral is "bacterial SSU rRNA". It matches the Rfam family "Bacterial small subunit ribosomal RNA", at positions 30 to 524 of the family's 1533-position model. The record is from RNAcentral.
AUUGAACGCUGGCGGCAGGCCUAACACAUGCAAGUCGAGCGGUAGAGAGGUGCUUGCAUCUCUUGAGAGCGGCGGACGGGUGAGUAAUGCCUAGGAAUCUGCCUAGUGGUGGGGGAUAACGUUCGGAAACGGACGCUAAUACCGCAUACGUCCUACGGGAGAAAGCGGGGGAUCUUCGGACCUCGCGCCAUUAGAUGAGCCUAGGUCGGAUUAGCUAGUUGGUGAGGUAAUGGCUCACCAAGGCGACGAUCCGUAACUGGUCUGAGAGGAUGAUCAGUCACACUGGAACUGAGACACGGUCCAGACUCCUACGGAGGCAGCAGUGGGGAAUAUUGGACAAUGGGCGAAAGCCUGAUCCAGCCAUGCCGCGUGUGUGAAGAAGGUCUUCGGAUUGUAAAGCACUUUAAGUUGGGAGGAAGGGUAGGUAACCUAAUACGUUAGCUACUUUGACGUUACCGACAGAAUAAGCACCGGCUAACUUCGUGCCAGCAGCCGCGGUAAU